AUGUCGCUCUAUCCUGAGGGUGGAGUGUCCGUGAACCACACUGCCCACACCUUCUUCACUCCCGCCAACACCGGCUGCACCCCAAACCAUGAGAUGCUCGAGGAGGAGCAUGAGGUGGCUGUGCUGGGGGCAUCCCACAACCCCACUCCACCGAGGUCCCCCAUGCUCCACAUCCACAGUGACACCUCCUUGCCCGACCAUGUUGUCUGGUCCCUGCUCAACACCCUCUUAGUGAACUGCUGCUGCCUGGGCUUCAUUGCAUUCACCUACUCCAUCAAGUGGUCAAGGGACAGGAAGAUGGUUGGUAACCUGACCGGGGCCCAGGCCUAUGCCUCCACCGCCAAGUGCCUGAACGUCUGGGCCCCGGUUCUGUGCAUCCUCAGGACCGUUCUGCUCAUCAUCAUCCCAGUGCUGAUCUUCCAAGUCUAUGGAUAGAACAGGAGGCAGCCUCCAGGCCAGGAGCUCUGCCUACCACGUGUCUCCCACGCACUCCACCUUCCAUGCCUCAAC
Molecule: RNA transcript, 510 nt
Organism: Sapajus apella (tufted capuchin)
Lineage: Eukaryota; Metazoa; Chordata; Mammalia; Primates; Cebidae
Gene name: interferon-induced transmembrane protein 3 pseudogene
Exons: 2
Source: RefSeq, a predicted model, not a curated record